Molecule: small nuclear RNA, 101 nt
Filed under: Marmota monax (woodchuck)
Lineage: Eukaryota; Metazoa; Chordata; Mammalia; Rodentia; Sciuridae
Source: RNAcentral
CUCAGCAGCACAUGGAUCCUUCUCAAANAACGAUAUAGAGAAGAUUAGCAUGACCCCUGCGCAAGGAUGACACGCAAAUUCGUGAAGUGUUCCAUAUUUUU